Anoplophora glabripennis (Asian longhorned beetle) is the source of this 908-nucleotide long non-coding RNA. RefSeq lists it as uncharacterized. NCBI's taxonomy places the organism in Eukaryota, Metazoa, Arthropoda, Insecta, Coleoptera, Cerambycidae. The transcript is spliced from 2 exons. The record is from RefSeq and is a predicted model, not a curated record.
UAAUAAAAUUAUUUGGUUUAUAUCAAAUCGCUGAAAACAGUCCAGAGAAGCUAUAGGUAUACAUUAUAUUUAACUCCACUUAUAGAUAACAUGGUUAUCUGAACAGCUAUUAAUUUCACAUAAAAAUAUCGAUGUUUUGACACUUCUAACAAUAAUUACCUAGGGACAGGGUCUAACAUUUUAUUAUUUAUUUAAUACUUUCCUCGUUUGUGGAAAAAGGCAAUCGAUUUGCCUAUACCCAAAAAAAAAAAAUAAUUCAGAAUCGUUCUCUGAUCUUAGAAUAAUUAGUAUACUACCUGCGUUUUCCAAAAUUUUUGAAAGAUUGUUAUAUAAUCACAUUUAUGACUAUUUUGUAAAUAAUAGUCUCUUACCUCAAUCGCAAUGUGGCUUCAGGAAAGGGUAUAGUACUUUAACUGCUCUAAUUACCGUCACUGAUGAUUUAAUAAAAGCACAGGACAGGGGACUAGUUAGUGCUUUAGUUACUGGACUCAACAAGGUAUGUCAGUUAUCUGGUCAAGUAAAUAAUCAAAAUUAUAGACCUUGUCCUAUAAGAAAUCCUCAUAAGUUUAUUGAAACAUCCUUACAUCCUCAGAAGAUAGUAGGCCCAAUUUUUUCCCGAGAACUAAUAAAUGAAAACGAUAGCAAGCUCUGUAAUCACUGCAUAAUAGUAAUGAUGGACUGCAAUGUGGAUUUUUUCAUCACGAUGGAGCCACAGUACAUACUACAUCAGAAAAUGUAAGAUAUAUGCAGGAAUUUUGUGCGGUGAUAUAUUGAUACGAGGGUAUUGUGGUCCGCACGAAGUCCUGAUCUCACCCCGUUAGAUUUUUAUGUGUUUGGUGGUAUCAACAAUAAUAUAUUUCGAACAUCUGUAAUAAAUUUUAGUUAGCAGAAUAAAAACAUUAUUUGUG